GUCAGUGUGGUGUAGUGGUUUGAGCACCGGACUAUGACUCCGGAGAGCAAGGUUUGAAUCCCAGCUGAGCCA
Phrynosoma platyrhinos (Desert horned lizard) is the source of this 72-nucleotide non-coding RNA. The record is from the annotation of a GenBank genome assembly. NCBI's taxonomy places the organism in Eukaryota, Metazoa, Chordata, Lepidosauria, Squamata, Phrynosomatidae.